GGGUUGUGAGGUUAAGCGACUAAGCGUACACGGUGGAUGCCCUGGCAGUCAGAGGCGAUGAAGGACGUGCUAAUCUGCGAUAAGCGUCGGUAAGGUGAUAUGAACCGUUAUAACCGGCGAUUUCCGAAUGGGGAAACCCAGUGUGUUUCGACACACUAUCAUUAACUGAAUCCAUAGGUUAAUGAGGCGAACCGGGGGAACUGAAACAUCUAAGUACCCCGAGGAAAAGAAAUCAACCGAGAUUCCCCCAGUAGCGGCGAGCGAACGGGGAGCAGCCCAGAGCCUGAAUCAGUGUGUGUGUUAGUGGAAGCGUCUGGAAAGGCGCGCGAUACAGGGUGACAGCCCCGUACACAAAAAUGCACAUGCUGUGAGCUCGAUGAGUAGGGCGGGACACGUGGUAUCCUGUCUGAAUAUGGGGGGACCAUCCUCCAAGGCUAAAUACUCCUGACUGACCGAUAGUGAACCAGUACCGUGAGGGAAAGGCGAAAAGAACCCCGGCGAGGGGAGUGAAAAAGAACCUGAAACCGUGUACGUACAAGCAGUGGGAGCACGCUUAGGCGUGUGACUGCGUACCUUUUGUAUAAUGGGUCAGCGACUUAUAUUCUGUAGCAAGGUUAACCGAAUAGGGGAGCCGAAGGGAAACCGAGUCUUAACUGGGCGUUAAGUUGCAGGGUAUAGACCCGAAACCCGGUGAUCUAGCCAUGGGCAGGUUGAAGGUUGGGUAACACUAACUGGAGGACCGAACCGACUAAUGUUGAAAAAUUAGCGGAUGACUUGUGGCUGGGGGUGAAAGGCCAAUCAAACCGGGAGAUAGCUGGUUCUCCCCGAAAGCUAUUUAGGUAGCGCCUCGUGAAUUCAUCUCCGGGGGUAGAGCACUGUUUCGGCAAGGGGGUCAUCCCGACUUACCAACCCGAUGCAAACUGCGAAUACCGGAGAAUGUUAUCACGGGAGACACACGGCGGGUGCUAACGUCCGUCGUGAAGAGGGAAACAACCCAGACCGCCAGCUAAGGUCCCAAAGUCAUGGUUAAGUGGGAAACGAUGUGGGAAGGCCCAGACAGCCAGGAUGUUGGCUUAGAAGCAGCCAUCAUUUAAAGAAAGCGUAAUAGCUCACUGGUCGAGUCGGCCUGCGCGGAAGAUGUAACGGGGCUAAACCAUGCACCGAAGCUGCGGCAGCGACGCUUAUGCGUUGUUGGGUAGGGGAGCGUUCUGUAAGCCUGUGAAGGUGUGCUGUGAGGCAUGCUGGAGGUAUCAGAAGUGCGAAUGCUGACAUAAGUAACGAUAAAGCGGGUGAAAAGCCCGCUCGCCGGAAGACCAAGGGUUCCUGUCCAACGUUAAUCGGGGCAGGGUGAGUCGACCCCUAAGGCGAGGCCGAAAGGCGUAGUCGAUGGGAAACAGGUUAAUAUUCCUGUACUUGGUGUUACUGCGAAGGGGGGACGGAGAAGGCUAUGUUGGCCGGGCGACGGUUGUCCCGGUUUAAGCGUGUAGGCUGGUUUUCCAGGCAAAUCCGGAAAAUCAAGGCUGAGGCGUGAUGACGAGGCACUACGGUGCUGAAGCAACAAAUGCCCUGCUUCCAGGAAAAGCCUCUAAGCAUCAGGUAACAUCAAAUCGUACCCCAAACCGACACAGGUGGUCAGGUAGAGAAUACCAAGGCGCUUGAGAGAACUCGGGUGAAGGAACUAGGCAAAAUGGUGCCGUAACUUCGGGAGAAGGCACGCUGAUACGUAGGUGAAGUCCCUCGCGGAUGGAGCUGAAAUCAGUCGAAGAUACCAGCUGGCUGCAACUGUUUAUUAAAAACACAGCACUGUGCAAACACGAAAGUGGACGUAUACGGUGUGACGCCUGCCCGGUGCCGGAAGGUUAAUUGAUGGGGUCAGCGCAAGCGAAGCUCUUGAUCGAAGCCCCGGUAAACGGCGGCCGUAACUAUAACGGUCCUAAGGUAGCGAAAUUCCUUGUCGGGUAAGUUCCGACCUGCACGAAUGGCGUAAUGAUGGCCAGGCUGUCUCCACCCGAGACUCAGUGAAAUUGAACUCGCUGUGAAGAUGCAGUGUACCCGCGGCAAGACGGAAAGACCCCGUGAACCUUUACUAUAGCUUGACACUGAACAUUGAGCCUUGAUGUGUAGGAUAGGUGGGAGGCUUGGAAGUGUGGACGCCAGUCUGCAUGGAGCCGACCUUGAAAUACCACCCUUUAAUGUUUGAUGUUCUAACGUUGACCCGUGAUCCGGGUUGCGGACAGUGUCUGGUGGGUAGUUUGACUGGGGCGGUCUCCUCCUAAAGAGUAACGGAGGAGCACGAAGGUUGGCUAAUCCUGGUCGGACAUCAGGAGGUUAGUGCAAUGGCAUAAGCCAGCUUGACUGCGAGCGUGACGGCGCGAGCAGGUGCGAAAGCAGGUCAUAGUGAUCCGGUGGUUCUGAAUGGAAGGGCCAUCGCUCAACGGAUAAAAGGUACUCCGGGGAUAACAGGCUGAUACCGCCCAAGAGUUCAUAUCGACGGCGGUGUUUGGCACCUCGAUGUCGGCUCAUCACAUCCUGGGGCUGAAGUAGGUCCCAAGGGUAUGGCUGUUCGCCAUUUAAAGUGGUACGCGAGCUGGGUUUAGAACGUCGUGAGACAGUUCGGUCCCUAUCUGCCGUGGGCGCUGGAGAACUGAGGGGGGCUGCUCCUAGUACGAGAGGACCGGAGUGGACGCAUCACUGGUGUUCGGGUUGUCAUGCCAAUGGCACUGCCCGGUAGCUAAAUGCGGAAGAGAUAAGUGCUGAAAGCAUCUAAGCACGAAACUUGCCCCGAGAUGAGUUCUCCCUGACUCCUUGAGAGUCCUGAAGGAACGUUGAAGACGACGACGUUGAUAGGCCGGGUGUGUAAGCGCAGCGAUGCGUUGAGCUAACCGGUACUAAUGAACCGUGAGGCUUAACCUUACAACGCCGAAG
Molecule: ribosomal RNA, 2925 nt
Filed under: Escherichia coli
Lineage: Bacteria; Pseudomonadati; Pseudomonadota; Gammaproteobacteria; Enterobacterales; Enterobacteriaceae
Description: bacterial LSU rRNA
Rfam family: Bacterial large subunit ribosomal RNA
Source: RNAcentral